Molecule: long non-coding RNA, 398 nt
Organism: Pseudophryne corroboree (corroboree frog)
Lineage: Eukaryota; Metazoa; Chordata; Amphibia; Anura; Myobatrachidae
Exons: 3
Source: RefSeq, a predicted model, not a curated record
CUGAGUCAUCACACCUGCCAGGGCCCUGAUCAUCAGAGAGACUGCCCGGGACCCUACAGAGGAAUUAGGCAGUCUACUGGCACAACUAUUAGUGCGGUCCAUCCAUAUUGCGAGAAGAGGCUCCAAGCCCCUACCCAGCAGAAAGGGAGCUCCAGCACACAUACCAGUGAUGCCGCACACAUCGGAGGCAAAGCGGGUCCGCGUUUGGCAGAAAGAAAUAAAAAUAAGGAGUAUUGAACAGAAAGAGAAGCAUUCCAGCUUUCCACAAAAGAACCAAUGAAGAAUUUAUGCUUGGAAAGAAGCAUGCUGAAAUGUCUCUUAUUUUAGUAAAAAAAAAAAACAACCAACAAAAUAAUGUGUAAUGCUACCAUGACUGUAAUAAGUGGAUAAUGGAAGAA